RNAcentral lists this ribosomal RNA (400 nucleotides) under uncultured bacterium. Its description in RNAcentral is "bacterial SSU rRNA". It matches the Rfam family "Bacterial small subunit ribosomal RNA", at positions 355 to 769 of the family's 1533-position model. The record is from RNAcentral.
UGGGGAAUUUUACGCAAUGGGGGAAACCCUGACGUAGCGACACCGCGUGAGCGAAGAAGCCCUUUGGGGUGUAAAGCUCUGCCAGCUGGAACGAAAUCAAUGACGGUACCAGCAGAGGAAGCAUCGGCUAACUACGUGCCAGCAGCCGCGGUAAGACGUAGGAUGCGAGCGUUGUCCGGAUUUAUUGGGCGUAAAGAGUUCGUAGGUGGUUUGUUAAGUCUGAUGUUAAAGACUGAGGCUCAACCUCGGAAAUGCAUUGGAUACUGGCAGACUUGAGUGUAGUAGAGGCAAGCGGAAUUCCAGGUGUAGCGGUGAAAUGCGUAGAUAUCUGGAAGAACACCAGUGGCGUAAGCGGCUUGCUGGGCUAUAACUGACACUGAGGAACGAAAGCCAGGGUAGC